RNAcentral lists this long non-coding RNA (261 nucleotides) under Jatropha curcas. RNAcentral describes it as "long non-coding RNA (JCUR_LNC003400)". The record is from RNAcentral. Lineage: Eukaryota; Viridiplantae; Streptophyta; Magnoliopsida; Malpighiales; Euphorbiaceae.
AUCUCGCGCUCGCGACUUGUGCUGCGCGGUCGCGACUUCAGCCAGAAACACACUGACUCUUAGGGUGCACAAGUCGCGCUCGCGACUUUCACAUACGCGGUCGCGACUUGUGCUGUGACACUCUUUUGCCUUUCAUUUGCUAUGUAAUCACAUUCCUUUGCUCAACAUGCAUGCAUCCAAUCAUUUUACAACAAAAAUACAACAUAAGAACAUGGAUUAAAACAACAUGUAAGCAUUUAUAUGGUGUGAAAUCAAAUCAAU